UACCAGAACAAUCGAUCAUGACCACAGAA
Molecule: non-coding RNA, 29 nt
Filed under: Mus musculus (house mouse)
Lineage: Eukaryota; Metazoa; Chordata; Mammalia; Rodentia; Muridae
Source: RNAcentral